CUAUUUUGAUAGUUUUUAUUUCCCUUCUCUUUUGGUUUAUUGUUUGCCUAUGUUGCUGUUAUUUGGUAAUUUUGUUGAGUAUCUGGUUUGUUGUGGUGGGGAAAUGCAAGCAUUGAUUUUGUUAGGAUAUACCUCAACAAGAACGCCUCGAACAGAGACGCAAUACACACCCAAACAAUUUUGGAAUCACAGAAUAACAUGGUUCACUCUUACAGAGCUAUUCCACGAUGCAACGACGACGUCUAGAUCUUUUAUAUUGCAAAAGAAUUAGUUCAAAGAGAACACAUUCUCUUGAUCAAGAUACACUCUAAGAAUUCUCAACCCUCUCCUUGAUAUUAAGAAAAAACUCUCUAUUUUUCCUUUCUCUCACUCUUUUAUAAGAGGAGUUAUUUCUGGAAUGAGUUUUUCUGAAGAGUUUUGGUCCUAUUUAUAAUAUUUGGGAAAUACUAUGCACUAAUAAAAUAUUAUCCGUGGUAGAACCCGCCAUUCUAUUAAUUUUAAACUCCUCGGCUUUUGGUGCCGAAAUCUUUAAUUUUGAUUUGUGGGGCCCGUGCACUUUUCAAAAUCAAAUAUUUUGACAACAACCCUUCAACAAUGACGAAGAAUGGGACUUGGGAGCUCGUAAAGCUUCCAAGAGAGCGAAAGGCUCUUCACAAUCGGUGGAUUUAUCGGGUCAAGGAUGAAGUCGAUGGAUGGAGAUGUUACAAGGUGAGGUUUGUAGUGAAGGGCUAUGAGCAGAAAGCAGAGAUAGACUAUUCUGACGUUUUCGCUCCCUUCAUCAAGUUGACCAUAAUCCGGACUGUGUUGAGCAUUAUGGCAGUUCGAGAUCUUCAUCUAGAGCAGAUGGAGACGAUAUUUCUUCAUGGAGAUUUGGAGAAAGAGAUCUAUAUGCAUCAAUCAGUGGGCUUCGAGGAACGAGGCAAGGAGGGCCUCGUGUGUCUCCUGCGUAAGAACUUGUAUGGCCUGAAGCAAGCUCUGCGAUAGUGGUACAUAAAGUUUGAGAACUUUAUGGAGGAGAACGGUUUUCUCAAAUACGACACAGACCACUGCUGCUUCAUCAAGAGGUAUAGCGAACCCUAUGUGAUACUCUUGAUUUAUGUUGAUGACAUGUUGAUUGUUGGGCCCGACUUGGCCCGUAUUAAGAAACUCAAGGGGCGUCUCUCCGAGUGCUUCGAGAUGAAAGAUCUAGAUCCAGCAAACUAGAUUCUUGGGAUGAGGAUCAUCAGAGACAGAUCAGCAUGGAGGCUGAGGUUGUCUCAGAAGGCUUAUAUUGAGAAGAUUCUUGAAAAGUUUGGCAUGGAAAAAGCUAAACCGGUGAGCUCGUCAUUUGUAAGCCAUUUCAAGCUAUCAAAAAUCUAAGUACCAGAGACUGCUGAAGAUCAUGAGUUUAUAGCCAACAUACCAUACGCAUCUGCCGUCGGGAGUUUGAUGUAUGUGAUGGUAUGUACGAGGUCAGAUAUUGCACAAUGAGUGGGAGUUGUGAGCCGCUUCAUGAGCAAUCCAGGGAAGCAACACUGGGAUGCGAUCAAGUGGUUUCUACGCUACUUGAGGUGCUCGUCCGACCGUUAUCUUGAGUAUGACAGGACAAAUUUGCAGCUAGAAAGCUUUUGUGAUGCAGACUACGUCUGGGACAUAGACUCAAGAAGGAGCACAAGCGGCUACAUCUUCAUCUUGAGUGGUUGAGCGAUAAGUUGGAGAUCAAAGUUACAGGAUAUUGUGGCUAUGUCAACAACCGAAGCCGAGUACUUGUCUGCAGCGGAGACAACAAAGAAAUUGUUAUGGUUGAAAGCUUUUCUUCUCGAGCUUAGGGUAAGUUUUGAGAAAUACUUCAUCCACUACGACAGUCAGAGUGUCAUUCACUUGUCAAAGAACAACGCAUUCUAUGUUCGGACCAAGCAUGUUGACGUGAAGCAUCAUAUCAUACGGAGAUGGCAAAACAGGAACGAGUUCAAGUUUAUGAAGAUUGAUACGAGUUAUAAUCUAACCGAUAUGUUGACCAAGCCAGUUUCGCUCGAGAAGGUGAGGCUGUAUGCAACCUCAUAUGGUCUCCGUUGAGAACGUUGAAGGCUGUGCAAGACGCCAAAGAUACAAGACAUCCGGAUGAUGCAACCAAGAAUGGUGUGAAGAUAUGAUUGAUACUCAAUAAAAUCUUCAGGUGGGUGAUUGUUGAAAGGGCUGCUGUCGAAAUGUUUGAUUUUGAAAAAGUGGGCGGGCUCUACAAAUCAAAAUAAAAAAUUUCGGCAUCGAAAGCUGAGGAGUUUGAAAUUAAUAGGAUGUUGGAUCCCACCACUAAUAAUAUUUUAUUAGUGCAUAGUGUUUCUCAAACACUACAAAUAUGGUCAUAGUGUUUCUCAAACACUAUAAAUAUGGUCAAAACUCUUCAAGAAAAACUCAUCCUAGAAACAACUACUCUUAUAGAAGAGUAAGAAGGGAAAAUAGAAAUUUUUUUCUUAAUAUCAAAGAGUUUAUGAGAAUUCUUAGAGUGUAUCUUGAUUAAGAGAAUGUGUUCUCUUUGAUCUAAUUCUUUAGUAAUAUAAAAAACUGGGCAUCGUCGUUGCAUCGUGGAGUAGCUCCGUAAGAAUGAACCACAUUAUAUUUGUGAGUACUGAGAUUGAAUUUGUGUCUUUAUUUUGUGAUUGCAAAAUCAUUUGGGUGUGUAUUGCGUCUCCGUUCGAGGCGUUCUUGUUGACGUAUAUCCUAACAGAUUUGUUGGCUACCUACAUUGAGUAACUGGAGAUUUUGAUAAUUUAUGUUUUGGAAUUUCAUUUAUUGAGGGAACCCAAGUCACAAAAUGCUAGGUCUUGGCUUUGAGUAUAGUUUAGCUCUAACACGUAAGAAAUUGUUAAGUAUAAACUCAUUACAUGGUAUAAUGUAUGAUUAAGGAUGUGAGAUACCUAAGAAUGGCAUAACACCCUCCCAAAUGGGCCUUUGAGUAUAGUUUAGCUCUCACACAUAAGAAAUUGUUAAGUAUAAACUCAUUACAUGGUAUAAUGUAUGAUUAAGGAUGUGAGAUACCUAAGAAUGGCAUAACAUCCUCCCAAAUGGGCCAUGGCUAAUACAUUAGCGUGUGCAAGAAUGUGAUUGUGUUAAGACUUUCCAGCUAAGAGGUCCUAAGCAACAUCUUACAGAUUGAGAUACAGUUUGAUGAGUUUCAUUGAUUGUUGAAAUUUUUUGUUGUUCAUAUGGCAUGCUGCGAAUGGGGAAUUUGUUUCGUGUGAACCUUUUUAACAAAUGAUGAAGGCUUUUGUGAGCUCAAGUAUAGCCACUUUGUCUUUAGCUAGAAGGUGAAACAUGAGUGUCACUAGGUCGAUUAUAAAAUUUCUAUGUUAUGUGCAAUAUUGGAUAUUGUUGCAUAUGCUCAGCAAGCGAGGGUUACUUGGCCAUGGAGAUCUUAAAUAAUAUAUUCUUCCAUCUUCUGGACCUUUGUGAUCAACAUGUUUAACAUCAAUCAUGCGUAUGCUCAGAAAGCAAAGAUACUGACUGUAUGCUUAUUGGCUGAAGUUGGAAAAGGAAGGGGUUCUCGGUGGUACCCUUAUCUGGUUGAAUUGCCUCGCUGUUAUCACACACUAGCUAAUUUCUUGCGGUUUGAAACACAAGCUCUGCAAGUUGAAGAGGCCAUUUGGGUUUCAGAAAAAGCUGUCUUAACAUCUAAGUUGGAUUGGGAAAUAGCCACAGUUGUUAUGAGAGAAUUAGAUCUCAAAUCACAACUUUUAACACUUAGGUCAUGGCUUUGGGCCUCGGCAACUAUUACUUCUCGCACAUUGCAUAUACCAUGGGAUGAGGCUGGUUGCUUAUGCCCUGUUGGUGACUUGUUUAAUUAUGCUGCACCUGAUGAGGAAAUUUACUCUGAAGAUGAUACAUCCUUAAAAUGCAAUGGCACCAUGGAGCAACCAGAUGCUGAGCUGCUUGAGUGUUAUUCUCAGAGGUUAACAGACGGUGGAUACGAGGACGAUACUGCUUCAUAUUGCUUUUAUGCUAGAGAGAAUUACGAAAAGGGAAAGCAGGUUCUUUUGAGUUAUGGAACAUAUACUAAUUUGGAGCUUUUGGAGCAUUAUGGAUUUAUUUUGGAUGUUAACCCAAAUGAGAAGGCCUUCAUUCGACUGGAUAUUGAUAGCCAGAAAUUUAGCUCUUGGCCUAAAGAGUUUCUAUACAUUCAUCCUGAUGGAAGCCCUUCUUUUGCCUUACUCUGCACUUUACGCUUAUGGGCAACACCAGCAAAACUAAGAAGAUCAGUUGGGCAUCGAGCUUACUCGGGAUCCUUGCUUUCUGCUGAAAAUGAGUUAUUUAUCAUGAAAUGGUUGGCAAAUCACUGUCAAAAUAUUUUGGGACAACUGCCUACUACAUUGGAGAAUGAUGAGUUACUAGUGGUCAUCAUAGAUAAAAUGCUAGACUAUUCAUCUUAUCAGAAGUGCAUUGACUUGCUAUCCUCUGAUCGAGAGCUCAACAAGUUCUUCCAAAAUUAUGGCUUACUAAAGGAAGGGACUGCUGAUUAUUCAUUAUCACCAAAGGUGAAGAAGUCAUUGGAGAGAUGGAGAUUGACAGUGCAGUGGAGAUGCAACCACAAGAAAAUCCUCGUUAAUUGUGUUUCCUAUUGCAAUUCUGUGGUUGACAGAGUCUCGUCUGACCGUGAUUUCUCUAAGAGAAUGGGUUACAUAUGAAACAGUAGCAUUAUUUUUGCGGUGGUCCUCCUUUUCUACCUUCUGGGGACAUUUUGGACAUCCGUUCCAGCAUCCGGCUCCCGGUUUUCUUUCUGAAAGGAUGCUCUCUCUUUCUUGAGGGAUUUGCAAUUGGAAAAAAAAAACAAUAAUGAUGACGAGGGGUUUAGUAUUCUACAGAGCCAGCUGCUCAAUGCUAUCCUUCUCAUUCAGCCAGUGAUCAAUGAAUAUGGUUAUACCUUCAAAAAUUGGUGAAUAAAUAUAUUCCAUGGGAACAGAGUGCCUUUAGAACAAUUAAUGCAUGCUGUUCACUCCUCCCUGCAAGAUUGGAGUAGCAAAAGCUUGCUGUUUUUUGCUGGCUUCUUAUUGAUUCUUCUUCCCCAUUUCUCUGGAAAUCCAGGAGAAUGAUCGGCAACAGGUUUUUUUUCUACUACUUAGAAUUCUUUAUGAGCUUUACUUAAAACGACAACAUUAUCAAUUGUGAGAGUUUGUUGUGAAGGGAUAGAGUUUCGUUGCUGUACAUCUUUUAUUUUUCAUUCUAACCUCUAAUUGGCCUUAUAUAUUAUAGUAAGAAUUUGGAAUUCCGUAAGCGCGGGCAUGCCGUGAUUUAAAAUCACACACACACACUAACGCGCAUACUACAUACAUAGACACAAAAUCAUUGGUGUCUCUCCACGGUAGUGGCUGGUGUGUCACUGGUUAGCGUGCGUCUGUGCUCGAUGGUUUUCAUGCAUAUACAAUUAAGUAAGAUUUGCUCUCGCUGCUUCUGAAAAUUUAUGCUAUUAAUUGAUCAAUACAAUCCAAAUUGAGAUGUGACUAGGCACCUAGAGUAUAUCAAUAUGUUUUAUCAUGAAACAUCUGGUUCAAACUUCAAAAGCAUCCGCACCUGCUUGAGUUUCGACUCAUGUUCCUUGUUCUCUAAGUCUAAAUUGCUACUAAUUGUGCAGUUAUGGUAUCACUUUACAUGUUCGGAAGGCAGUUCUAUGAAGCCCAAUAUUAUUUUACAUGCUGAAGAUAAAUGCAGUACAUAUUACCUGUUUCUAAAAGAUUAAAAAAGCAUUUGAUAUUAAAAUUUGCUUCAUCACUUACAGUUAUGAACAGAUAUAUCAGUCUUUACGAUGUUAUCUACCACAUUAACCAUCUCAUACUCAAAUAACAUACAAUUGUUUGGUUUCAUUUGGUGUCCUUAUUUAUUUAUGCCUGAUGAGUAAAUCUCGUGAAUAAUUGUCGUGCUACUCCUAAAAUAUCAUCACAGCAUUUUCCCAGCAUGAGUUUUGUCUAUGACCGUGCUAAUUAGUUUUCGCCCCUAAUAUCUGCUAGGAAUGGGGAAACUAUUUCACGAACAACGUGAUGAGAGUCCAUUCAACUUCAAAGCAGUAUGUAAUGUUGGUUAUACCUUAAAUAUUAAUGGUGUAAUCUAGGGCAGCAAGAAAUGUCUUAUGGGUUGCUUCUUACUUCUUCAUACUUAAAUGCCAUGAAUUAUUUACAUCCCAUCAUCAAGAGAUUUGUCUCUUUACCUUAUUUAUGCUACUGGGUUUAAGCCCUCAAUUUCUUCCCAAAAUUAGAUUGCGGUAUCUUAUUUUCUUGUUUCGCUGUGGUUCUUUGUAUUCCUUUUUCCUGAACUUUAGGAGGAAGGAAAGAAUAUUACAAAUGAAGUAUUACAUAUAUAUGCUCAAUCUUUUUCUAAGCAUCACUGCUAUGAGAGUGA
Asparagus officinalis (garden asparagus) is the source of this 6363-nucleotide RNA transcript. It is a transcript of the gene named protein SET DOMAIN GROUP 40, with no coding region annotated. The record is from RefSeq and is a predicted model, not a curated record. NCBI's taxonomy places the organism in Eukaryota, Viridiplantae, Streptophyta, Magnoliopsida, Asparagales, Asparagaceae. The transcript has 7 exons.